Molecule: non-coding RNA, 947 nt
Organism: Camelina sativa (false flax)
Lineage: Eukaryota; Viridiplantae; Streptophyta; Magnoliopsida; Brassicales; Brassicaceae
Source: RefSeq, a predicted model, not a curated record
AAAGAGUUUUUUCCUUCGCCUCUUCACUCUCUCUCGCCGUCUCUCCCAAAUGGAUUUAAUUUUUUUUUUUCUUUUUUGUCGACGAACUCGAAGAGAUGCAGAGGAAGAGAAGAAGGAAAAGAAUUUCCAUUAUGAUAAGUGGUUUUGGAUUCUUCUCUGGUCAUCAGCUUGAUUUUGAGAUGAUAAACUCAAAUCUCAUAAAUCGCCAAUGACUUAACCUCAGAAAUCUGUCCAAUUCAUCUCUCCGAUCAAGGAAUCAUCAAAGGCGAUCUAGGAGAACGAAGUUUGAUAAUUUGAUUCGUACUAUAAGAGUUCACUUAUUGGAUGGUACUAUAAGCGGAGUGCUAUUGUUGGAGAUGGAAUGGGGACUAUGGUGGCAAGUGACGUAUACGAAGGAACCUGAGAGGCAAAAGUGGAAGAUCUUACUGGAAUUAGAAAAACAAUCAAACCUCUGGAAGAAUCAGGGGCUUUAGUUCGCAGAAUUGAUGAAGAGCUACUGCGAGCUUUGGAUUCAUUUGUGGUUGUGGAAAAGGAAGGACAGAUUAUCGCUUGUGCGACUUUGUUCCCUUUCUUUAAAGAAAAGUGUGGAGAAGUUGCAGCUAUUGCGGUUUCAUCAGAUUGUCUCGGACAAGGACAGGUCCACUAUUAUGAAGAUGGGUCAACACCUACCGGAACUUGUGGUGUCUAUGUUUUUGGUGGAGAAAUGUCAGUUUACAAUCAAUCUUUAAUAUUUACUAAAGCUCAGAUAAAAAAUUCAAUCACUAAACUAUUGUAUCUUCGCUUUGGUCUCAAUAGUCGGAGUUCCAUGUCCACUAUUAUGAAGAUGAGUCAACACCUACUGGAACUUGCAGUGUGUUAGUGUUCUUGGUGCAGAAAGGAGGACAUGUUAAGUGUGUGUUCUUCACCGUUGAUAUUUGUUUGCCAUAUCUAUAACCAAAUAUAUGGUU